Molecule: ribosomal RNA, 460 nt
Filed under: uncultured bacterium
Lineage: Bacteria
Description: partial 16S ribosomal RNA
Rfam family: Bacterial small subunit ribosomal RNA
Source: RNAcentral
CCUACGGGUGGCAGCAGUGAGGAAUAUUGGUCAAUGGACGAGAGUCUGAACCAGCCAAGUAGCGUGAAGGAUGACUGCCCUAUGGGUUGUAAACUUCUUUUAUAAAGGAAUAAAACGAGGCACGUGUGCCUUUUUGCAUGUACUUUAUGAAUAAGGAUCGGCUAACUCCGUGCCAGCAGCCGCGGUAAUACGGAGGAUCCGAGCGUUAUCCGGAUUUAUUGGGUUUAAAGGGAGCGUAGAUGGGUUGUUAAGUCAGGUGUGAAAGUUUGCGGCUCAACCGUAAAAUUGCAAUUGAUACUGGCAGUCUAGAGUACAGUUGAGGUAGGCGGAAUUCGUGGUGUAGCGGUGAAAUGCUUAGAUAUCACGAAGAACCCCGAUUGCGAAGGCAGCUUACUAAACUGUGACUGACAUUGAUGCUCGAAAGUGUGGGUAUCAAACAGGAUUAGAUACCCGGGUAGUC